UUUAACCCUUUGUCAACAGUAUAUUAAUAAAGAUAGGAAACAGCAUGGAAGAUGCAUGCACUCCGUCUCUUCCUAGCAGCUCCCUUCUUCCUCCCGGGGUGGCUCCCAUCAAACCACAAUACAUCCAAAAAAGACCUCUGGAAGUGACCACGCCCCAGACCGCCCCUGAAGCUCCUCCCACUAAGAAAAGGAGAGGACAGAAUAAGCACAGACCCCCGACUCGACUCGAUUUCUCACAACAACUCUGCCCGUCUUUUCAUGCAAAGGAUUACACGUGUCGGUUUGGAGAUAAAUGUCGUUACUCACAUGAUGUGAAAGGUUAUUUAGAGUCCAAGCCACCCGAUAUAAGUGACAAAUGUUACAUGUACACCACUUAUGGGAUGUGCCCUUCUGGUAUUGCCUGUCGCUUUGGCUCCUCCCAUAUCUCAGCUGAAGGGGAAAACAUCAUCAAUAAGAGUUUGUAUGAUGAGAAGAGAAUAAAGUCUGUAUCCAAUGUAAUAGAGAAGUCACUUCAGAUUGCAUUAAGGAAGAAGAAAGUUUCCUUCCCUCGCUCUGAGGAAUAUUUGAAAUCUUUAGAACCAAAGAAAAACCUUACGGGGCCAUCAUCAGGUGAUGCCAAAAACUCAAUUACUGAAGAGGAGAAACUCAAGGAAGAAGAGACAAGUAGUAUCAAUGAAGAGGGUGUAGUGGGUAAUAAUGGAGGAGGUGAUAGUGAAGGAGAGAGACUAAGAGCUGAGGAAGAGGUAAAAGAGAACUGUCUUGAAGGAGAUAAAGGAGAAGAUGGAAGCAUCAAAGAAGAGAAAGAAACUGAUUCUACUAAGACUGUAACCCCAGUUAGAGAAGGAAUACAACAGUGUGAAGGCACUUUAGAUCAUAAGAUGGCUAGUGAGACUGGAUCAGCUAUAGAAGAUGCAGCAAAGUUACCACAAGGAGCAAUCACUGAUGGCCUCACUACUGGUUCAUCACUCACUGCUCCUCCAGAGAAUAGUGAGGAAAUGAGUAUUGGGACUAGUGGACCGUGUACUGAUGAGGAUAGGAUAUCACUCAAACCACGAGAGAAGAAAAAGGUUGACUUCAAUAACAAGCUUUAUUUGGCUCCUCUUACUACCGUAAGUUGGUAACCUUCCCUUUAGAAGGAUAUGCAAGAGGUUUGGUGCUGACAUCACCUGCAGCGAAAUGGCAAUGGCAUUCAACUUACUUCAGGGUCAGCAGAGUGAGUGGGCAUUAGUGAAGAGACAUGAAUCGGAGGACAUUUUUGGCAUCCAGGUUUGUGGUUCUUCGGUUGAUGUAAUGACUCGCUGUGCUGAGCUCAUUAAUAUUCAUUGCUCUGUCGAUUUUAUUGACAUCAACUGCGGCUGCCCCAUUGAUCUAGUUUUUAAA
This is an RNA transcript of Amphimedon queenslandica, 1380 nucleotides long. It is a transcript of the gene named tRNA-dihydrouridine(47) synthase [NAD(P)(+)]-like, with no coding region annotated. The transcript has 7 exons. The record is from RefSeq and is a predicted model, not a curated record. NCBI's taxonomy places the organism in Eukaryota, Metazoa, Porifera, Demospongiae, Haplosclerida, Niphatidae.